UAAGAUUGAGAAAAAAUAGGCGUGAUCGUAUGCUUGGGCUAGAAAUUGAAUUGGAGAUGGGCACCAGUUACUUUAGUCCGGCCAGGAGAAGGAGUCUUGAUGUCCGGCUUCAUACAAAUAGGGAACUGAUCCUCUUGAUUUUACAGAGACUCGAAACUGGGUUCAAAAGCAAGUAACCGGCGGUUGAUCGAAUUUAAUUUGCAUGCAAGAGCAAAAGCUGGGGUGACUCUUCCAUCUGCAGACUCGGUUGCUUCGCCACUGCCUCUGUAUUCAAGGGGCAGAUCAAUUUGUUUAGUUGACACGGCUGCAGAGAAGAUCGAAACUAAAGAUUAAGGGUGAGGCUCUUAUUGAUUUGCUUAUUACGGUUGGUGUUUAGCUUGGUAGGAGUUUAGUGUUUGUAUUUCUGGUUUUGAAAGUGGUGGGAGAAGAAAGGCAGAAGCAGGGGAUUGCUGAAUUUGCAGGGAGCGAAGAUGAUAUUUUGUGCAGACUGUUCUUUUUCUUCCUUUUUUUAGCGUCGGAACUUGCCGUUCAUGAACGACUCCAUGUUCCUGUGCUAGGAAUUGCAGCAGCUGAGUGCGUUGAGACUCCGGCCGUUCAUGAACGACCAUAUAUGUCUCAACGGAGGAGAAAAUCACCAUGAAGUUGGCCGUUCAUGAACGACCAUGUAUUUCUUGAUAACUUAAGAGAGACUCAACAAAAGAAAGAAGGUUGUUCAUGAACAGCCUAUCUUUUGUUGACAGCAAGCAUUCCGGGCGAUGUAUUUCUUUGUUAAAGAAGACAGGUACAGCAAGGAUGCGUAGUAUACCUGAGCGUCACCUUUAGAGCUUGAAUGGUGGCCGGAUCUGCUUUGAAUAUUUUGGCAGAGCUUUAGUCUCUAGCUUGCUGCUUUGUUUUUUCCUCUCUCCCGUGUGUCUCUCCGUGUCUCUCUCUUCAUGUUAUUGUUCUUUAUAAUAGUAUAGCUGCUCCUCAGAUAACUUUGCCUUCUGCAGGACUUGUAACAUUGAAAUUUGAAUAACACACUUUGAAUUUUGGAUAAGAAACUUAUCCUGUAUUUUGACCAGCAACAAUCCCGAAUUUGCUUCACGUUUGAAGUCUUUUUUUUCAAAGCUAGUAAACUUUGACUAGCAACAUAUCUCUUUUGCUUCUUUUUUGAAUGGCCUAUUUGCUGUUUGAAAUAGUCAAGGGUGUAACAAUAUGUAUAAACUUAUC
Long non-coding RNA from Rosa chinensis, 1209 nucleotides. RefSeq lists it as uncharacterized. The transcript has 4 exons. NCBI's taxonomy places the organism in Eukaryota, Viridiplantae, Streptophyta, Magnoliopsida, Rosales, Rosaceae. The record is from RefSeq and is a predicted model, not a curated record.